ACGUAGGGGGCAAGCGUUAUCCGGAUUUACUGGGUGUAAAGGGAGCGUAGGCGGCCAUGCAAGUCAGAAGUGAAAGCCCGGGGCUCAACCCCGGGACUGCUUUUGAAACUGUAGGGCUAGAUUGCCGGAGAGGUGAGCGGAAUUCCUAGUGUAGCGGUGAAAUGCGUAGAUAUUAGGAGGAACACCAGUGGCGAAGGCGGCUCACUGGACGGUAAAUGACGCUGAGGCUCGAAAGCGUGGGGAGCAAACAG
Molecule: ribosomal RNA, 251 nt
Filed under: uncultured bacterium
Lineage: Bacteria
Description: partial 16S ribosomal RNA
Rfam family: Bacterial small subunit ribosomal RNA
Source: RNAcentral